GACUUCGGUCACAAGCGGCCCGGGACGUCAGCGGUGCCCUGGUGCUCAGGACUCAGGUUGAGGCCAUGCUGAGUCCUUGCGGCUGCGGCUGCGGAGUCGAGGAGCAGAUGGACGACAGCCAGCAGAAUCUGGUGGGGAGCAACAGGACAACACAGAGCGUGGACGUGGCCGAGCCCGAGCCCGGGGCCGUGGAGGUCCGGGUGGAAUACUGUACCUCCUGAGGAUUCCUGGCGCGCUUCUUGUUCCUGGCCACUGAGAUCAAAGAGCAGGUUCCGGAGGCGCGCAUUACCGGGCUCAUCGGGCAGAAAGGAAGUUUUGAAGUUACAGUUAACAACAAGCUGGUCUUCUCUAAGCUGCAAUCAAAUGCGUUCCCUUAUCAUGAAGACAUCAUUGAGGCUGUGAAGGCCGCAAGAGACGGGUCUCCAUUGAAUAGAAUCAUAUCCAAGGAGGAAGUUAUGGUCAAGAAGGGAGCCUGUGUUGUUUCAUAGCGGAAACGGAAGAACAUGCCUGUCAAUUGGCCGGUCAGGCCGGUGAAGCACGUUCUGCAGAUGAAUGCUUUCCACUAAAGCCAGUGGGGGAAGCAGGAAUAGAAACAGGAUGUGUUCCUCUGGCUUACGGUCUGCUAUGUACAGUCACACUGAUUGCUCUGUUUGUCACCCUGACUGUGUCACUCAUUAAACUUAAUUCUUUAAAUUUUCACUCCUCUUCCCUAUAUCCAGUUCACUUCCUGUAUCCACCUCAGUCCUGGUAUCCAGCAGAUUCCCCGUACCCAGCUCACUCCCCGUACCCAGCUCACUCCCCGUACCCAGCUCACUCCCCGUACCCAGCACAUUCCCCGUACCCAGCAGAUUCCCUGUACCCAGCAGAUUCCCCGUAUCCAGCUCACUCCCUGUAAUCAGCUCACUCCCCGUAUCCAGCUCACUUCCCGUAUCCAGCUCACUCCCCGUAUCCAGCAGAUUUCCUGUAUCCAGACUCCCUGUAUCCAGCUCACUCCCCGUAUCCAGCAGAUUCCCCGUAUCCAGCAGAUUCCCUGUAUUCAGCUCACUCCCUGUAUCCAGCUGAUUCCCUGUAUCCAUCUCACUCCCUGUAUCCAGCACAUUUUCUUUAUCUAGCUGAUACCCUGCUCAGUUCCCUAUAUCCAGCUGGCUCCCUACUGAAAUCUACAGCACAUUACAGGCCCUUCGGCCCACAAUGUUGUGCCGACCAUCUAACCUACUCUAGAGACUGCCCAGAAUUUCCCUACUGCAUAGCCUCUAUUUUUCUGAGCUCCAUGUACCUAUCUAAGAGGCUCUUAAAAGACCCUCUUGUAUCCACUUCUACCACCGUCACCAGCAGUACAUUCCACACACCCACCACUCUCUGUGUGAAAAACUUAGCCCCGACAUCCCCUCAGUACCUACUUCCAAGCACCUUAAAACUGUGCCCCCUCGAGCUAGCCAUUUCAGCCCUGGGAAAAAGCCUCUGACUAUCCACACAAUCAAUGCCUCUCAUCAUCUUAUACAUCUCUAUCAGGUCACCUCUCAUCCUCCAUCACUCCAAGGAGAGAAGGCCAAGUUCACUCAACCUAUUCUCAUAAGGUACACCCUCCAAUCCAGACAACUUCUUUUUAAAUCUCCUCUGCACUGUCUCUAUAGUAUCCAGCUGAUCCCUAUAUCCUGGUCCCUAUAUUCAGCUGAUUCCAUGUAUCCUGCUCCCUAUACUGAAUUCCCUAUGUCCAGCUCAAUCGCUACAUUCAGUUCCUGAUAUCCAGCUGAUUCCCUACACCCUCUUCCUUAUGUCCAGUUGAUUCAUUCCUUCCAGCUGAUUCCCUUUAAGAACAUAAGAAAUAGCAGGAGUCGGCCAUCUGGCCCGUCAACCCUGCUCAAUAAGAUCAUGGCUGAUCUGGCCAUGGACUCAUCUCCACCUACCUGCCUUUUCCCCAUAACCCUUAGUUCCCUACUAUGCAAAAUCUAUCCAACCUUGUCUUAAAUAUAUUUACUGAGGGAGCCUCCACUGCUUCAUUGGACAGAGAAUUCCACAGAUUCACCACUCUCUGGGAAAAGCAGUUCCUCCUCAUCUCUGUCCUAAAUCUACUCCCCUGAAUCUUGAGGCUAGUUCCCCUAGUUCUAUUCUCACUUACCAGUGGAAACAGCUUUCCUGCCUCUAUCUUAUCUAUCCUUUUCAUUAAUUUAUAUGUUUCUCUAAGAUCUCCUCUCAUCCUUCUUAAUCCCGGCAAGUACUGUCACAGGCGACUCAAUCUUCCCUCGUAGUCUCACCCCCUCAUCUCUGGAAUCAACCUGGUGAACCUCUUCUGCACCGCCUCCAAAGCCAGUAUAUUCUUCCUCAAGUAUGGAGACCAGAACUGCACACAGUACUCCAGCUGCGGCCUCACCAGUACCCUGUACAGUUGCAGCAUGACCUCCCUGCUCUUGAAUUCAAUCCCUCUAGCAAUGAAGGCCAACAUCUCAUUUGCCUUCUCUGAUAGCCUGCUGCACCUGCAAACCAACCUUUUGCGAUUGAUACACAAGCACUCCCAAGUCCCUCUGCACAGCAGCAUGAUGCAAUCUUUUACCAUUUAAAUAAUAACCUAAUCUUCCAUUUUUCCUUCCAACGUGGAUGACCUCACAUUAGCCAACAUUGUACUCCAUCUGCCAAACUCUUGCCCAUUCACUUAACCCAUCUACACCUCUCUGCAGACUCUCCGUAUGCUCUGCACAAUUUGCUUUUCCACUCAAUUUAGCAUCAUCAGCAAACUUAGAUACACUACACUCGGUCCCCUCUUCCACAUCAUUAAUGAAUAUCAUGAAGUUGGCGGGCCCAGCACUGAUCCCUGCAGCACAUCGCUCACCACUGAUUGCCAACCAGAGUAAUACCAAUGUAUCCCAACUCUCUGCUUUCUAUUGUUAACCAAUCCUCUAUCCAUGCUAAUACACCACUCCCAACUCAAUGCAUCCUUAUCUUAUGGAUAAGUCUUUUAUGCAUUACCUUUUCGAAUGCCUUCUGGAAAUCCAAGUAAGUAACAUCCAUCUGUUCCCCUCUAUCCACUGCGCUCAUUAUAUCCUCAAAAAAUUCCAGGAAGUUUGUCAAACAGGACCUGCCUUUGCUGAAUCCAUUCUGCAUCUGCCUGAUGGAUCCAUUUCUUUCCAGAUGCCUUGCUAUUUCUUCUUUAAUGAUAGCAUCAAGCAUUUUCCCAACCACAGAUGUUAAACUAACUGGCCUACAGUUUCCUGACUUUUGCCUACAUCCUUUUUUGAACAGUGGUAUCACAUUCAUCUUCUUCUAACCCACCAGGGCCUACCCAGAAUCCACAGAAUUUUGUUAAAUUAUCACCUAAACCUCUACUAUAACCUCCGCCAUUUCUUUCAGUACUCUGGGAUGUAUUCCAUCAGGACCAGGGGACUUGUCUAUCUUUAGGCUCACAAGUUUACUCAGCACUACCUCUUCAGUGAUAGCUGUUGAAUCGAGAUCCUCACCUCCCAUUGCAUCCAUAACAUCUCUCUUUGCCAUGUUAGAUGUGUCCUCCACCAUGAAAACUAACUCAAAAUAGUCGGCCAUUUCUUCAUUACCCAAUAUCAACUCCCCCUUCUCGUCCUCCAAAAGACCUACAUUCACUUUAGCCACCCUUUUCCACUUUAUAUAAUUAUAAAAACAUUUACUAGCAGUUUUUAUAUUUUGUGCUAGUUUAUUUUCAUAAUCUAGCUUUCCUUUCUUUAUUGAUCAUUUAGUGGGUCUUCGUUGCUUUUUAAAGUUUUCCCAAUCUUCCAGUUUCCCACUACUCUUGGCGACUUUGCAUGCACGAGCUUUUAGUUUGAUGCCUUCUUUUAUUUCCUUAGUUAUCCAAGGCUGGCUCUCCCCACCCUACUGUCCUUGCUUUUAACUGGAAAACACUUCUGUUGAGCACCGUGAAAAAUCUCUUUGAAAAGUCUUCCACUGUUCCUCAACCAUCCCACCAUAUAGCCUGUGUUCACAGUCUACAUUAGCCAAAUCCCAUUGUAGUCUCCACUGUAUAGGCAUGAUACUCUGGUUUUAGAUUGAACUAUUGCACCCUCCAUUUGCAUCAAAAACUCAGUCAUACUGUGAUCAUUCUAAGCAAGAGGAACCCUAACUACAAGAUCACUAAUUUUACCUGCUUCAUUGCACAGGACCAGAUCUAAGAUAUCACGUUCCCUUGUAGAUUCAGUAACACGCUGUUCCCCCGUGAUAACUGCUGUUCCAUUCUCACAUGCCUCAGAGAUUUCUCCGUUUAUUGCCUGUGCCUCUGUAAUGUUAUUAGUCGGUGGCUGAUGAUUUCUUCCCUUUACUACUCCUAAUCUCUACCCAGAUUCUGCUCCUCAGAUCUUACAUCGUCUCUCACUAUUGCCCUGAUCUCAUCCUUAUUUAAGAGUGCCACCCCCACCUCCCUUAUCUUCCUGCCUAUUCCGUAUGACCUGAUAUGCUUAGAUAUUCAAAUCACAGUCCUCUCCACCCUGCAACCAUGUCUCUGUAUUGGCCACUAAAUCAUAACCCUUUAGAACAUAGGCCCAGUAUAGGCCUUUCGGCCCACAAUGUUGUGCUGACCCUUAAACCCCACCUCCCAUAUACUUUAUACUUUACUGUCGCCAAACAAUUGAUACUAGAAUGUACAAUCAUCACAGCGAUAUUUGAUUCUGUG
Mobula hypostoma (lesser devil ray) is the source of this 4630-nucleotide long non-coding RNA. RefSeq lists it as uncharacterized. Lineage: Eukaryota; Metazoa; Chordata; Chondrichthyes; Myliobatiformes; Myliobatidae. The transcript is spliced from 4 exons. The record is from RefSeq and is a predicted model, not a curated record.